GCGGUAAGCGCGCCCCAGGCCUGGCCUGGCUGCUCGGGAGCGCGCCCCGGAGGCCCGCCCUGUUUUCGUCCGGCGGGACCGCUCCCGACGCGGCGGCCAGCACUAGCCGGCCCAGGCAAGCAAGUCACCACUUAGAGGACUCAGCAGAUGAAUAAGGAAUUCAUCUUAUUACCAGCGGCAUUCAAACAUUUGUGAAAUUUAAGAAUUGUAACUGCAGUUCUGAUUCGUGGAUCUUCAAAGAAAGUAGAGAAGAUUUCAAGAUUUACAAAGGUGCAGGUUUGUGCAGAUUUGAAGACGUAUCUUAUGAACUUGUAAAACAGACGUGUUUGAGAUGUGGUGGUUUCAGCAAGGUCUCAGUUUCCUUCCUUCUGCCCUAGUAAUUUGGACAGCUGCUGCUUUCAUAUUUUCGUACAUUACUGCUAUAACACUCCGCCAUGUUGACCCUGCUUUGCCUUAUAUCAGUGACACCGGUACACUGCCUCCAGAAAAAUGCUUGUUUGGGGCAAUGUUAAAUAUCGCUGCAGUUUUAUGCAUUGCUACAAUUUAUGUUCGUUAUAAGCAAGUUCAUGCUCUGAAUCCUGAAGAGAAUCGUAUCAUCAGAAUAAACAAGGCUGGCCUUGUACUUGGAUUACUGAGUUGUUUUGGACUUUCUAUCGUGGCAAACUUCCAGAAAACAGACUUUUUUCCUGUACACAUAUGUGGAGCUGUGCUCACCUUUGGUAUGGGCUCGUUAUAUAUGUUGGUUCAGACCAUCCUUUCCUACCAAAUGCAGCCCAAAAUUCAUGGCAAACAAGUCUUCUGGAUUAGACUAUUGCUGGUUAUCUGGUGUGGAGUAAGUGCAUUUAGCAUGCUGACUUCCUCAUCAUUGUUGCACAGUGGCAAUUAUGGCAAAGAUGUAGACCAGAAACUCCAUUGGAACCCCGAGGACAAAGGUUAUGUGCUUCACAUGAUCACCACUGCAGCAGAAUGGUCUUUGUCAUUCUCCUUCUUUGGUUUUUUCUUGACUUACAUCCGUGAUUUUCAGAAAAUUUCUUUACAAGUGGAAGCCAAUUUACAUGGAUUAACCCUCUAUGACACUGCUCCUUGCCCUGUUAACAAUGAACGAACACGGCUACUUUCCAGAGAUUUAUGAUGAAGGGAUAAAACAUUUCUGUGAUGAUUAUGAUUCUCAGGGAUUGGGGAAAAUGUUCAUGAAAGUUACUUACUCUGCUCUGAAAUUUUCAACCAGUUAAUCAAGGCUGACAGUGACUUUGAUGAACACUGAUAAACAAGAGACAUAAAUAAAGCCGUUUGAUAAGUUAUUUUAAAGGAUAUCAUCAAGAAGAGCAUGGGAAAACAUUUAUGCCUAUACUUGUUUUUAAUCCCAGAAAAUAAAACCAAAGGACUACAACAUUGUAGAUUUUUUUCCUACUUAUGAAAAACAACCAGAAGUGUACCAAGCAGUCUACAAAAUCCAGCCUUUCAUAUUUUCUAAAUCAUCGUAAAGCGUGUUUUGUUUGGAGCACUUUUAUAAGAGACAUUUUCCAGGACCCCGGAUACUCAGCAUUGCUCAGCAGCUCCUUUAGAAUUGGGUUUUGAAGUAAUAGUUUUACCAUAUCACUACAUUUCUUACAGUCUUUAUAAAAUUUUUUUCUUCUGGAAUCCACUUAUUAAGGGGAGCAGACCUGAAUUCAUGUAAGCACUUUCAUUGCUUAGGCUUUGCACAAGUGAUUCUGCAGGUGUUGAUUUAAUUCCUGCCAUAAGGCCAAAUACUAUGCCAACUAGUCUGUCACACAUCCUUGCAAGAGGUUCAUGAAGCUUAGUCUCUGAAAUGGGAUUUUAAUCACUUCAUGCAUGAGAGAAGUAGCUAUAGGUAAGUUUACUUCAGUUGUGAUCUACACAAAACAAGGGCUAGUGUUCAUACAUAAGGCUGAAAGGUUGUGAGUAAUAGCAGAUAUGAUUAAUAGAAGUUACCACAGACUGCUGUCAAGAGCUUCUUAGAUUUUCAUUUAUAUAGAAAUUAUAAUUAUUUGUGAAAGUAGUCUUGAAUGAGCAAAUACUAACCCUUUUAAACAAGAUGUGAUCUUUGUAGGAAGGACAAAAUCAAUCCAAAGGGGGGAGAGGGGGAGAAAACUAGGUACAAAAUAGUUGUGAUAUUUGUAUCCACAAAAACAACUUUCUCUCUCUCUCUGUCAUGCAAGUGAUUGGAUAGCUUCUACUUGGAUCCAUAUCUGUGCAGAUAAAGAAUGGUUUACAGAUCCCAGAGAAAAUUCAAAAGAAGAAAAUGAUCAUCCCGAAGGUUCCCAGUGACUGGUUCUCAAAAGAAUCUUUGAAGAAGAUUAACAGGGUUUAUCAUUUUAGAAGAAAUGAUCCCAUGGCCAAAAUAAAAGAUGGUGACAAGUUUAACGUAUAAGAGGGAGCACUUUAAAAGAAAAUGGUUAUCUGGUGGAAUUAGAAAUCUCAAUUAGGAAUAAUUUUCUAGAUAUAAGACUGUGUAAAUAAUACUGCUGAAUGAAGACUUCUGGGCUAAUAAGACAGAAAGUGGAAUAAAAUACUAUUUACAUAGGUCACACAGUAGUGACCAUGGGAGAUACUUCAAUAAAUACCGAUGCAUUGAAAUUUGACAUCACUAGAAAAAUAUUUGGAUACAAGCCAUGAAAAAUUUCUUUCAUGCCUCUGAAAAUCAUAGUGCAACCACACCUGAGAAACACUGGUGGGUCCUGACUCCUGUACAUCAAGGAAGCUGAAAUUCAAGUUGUGAAGGACCACAUAUGCAAAACUGCAUUUCCCAGCCUCCCUUUCAAUUAAGAAUUGCAUGAGACUGAAUAUUAGCCACUGAAAUAAAAUAUCCAGCAUGCAGCAAGAAAUUAUAAGACCUUCAAGGAGCAGAGACAUUUGAUUUGAUUCAGAGAGAAGUCAAUAGAAGCGAACUCAGAGAUUGCCCAGAUAUUGUAGUUAUCAGAAGUAGAUUAACUAUGAUAAAUUGCUGAAGGAGGUAGUAAAAAAGGGUGGAAAACAUGCAUGAAAAGAUGGGGAAUUUCAGCAAAUACAUGUAAACUAUGGGAAACAAAAAGAAAAUUCUAGAAUUGAAUAUGAUAUAACUACAUAGGAAAUGAUUUGAUAAACUUGGAAGACAGGACAAUUGAAAAUAAAAAACUGAAAAUCAAAGAGAAAAGGGAGUGAAAAUAAAAAGGACAGAGUAUUUGAGUUUUGAAGGCAAAAUCAAAUGGCCUUGCAUCUUGUAAUUGAGUUUCACAAGGUGAAGAAAAAGAGAAGGGCAUGGAAGAAAUGUUUGAAGAGAUAUUGACAGAGAACAUAUCCACAACUGAUGAAAAUUAACACAGAAAAUCAACAAAAAAGUGAGACUUUGGAAAUGAUUAAAAUUGAUAAACACCUAGCAGGAUUAAUAUGCUGAGCUGAAUAGUAUUCUCUCAAAAGCCAUGUCCAUCCAGAACUUUAGAAUGUGACCUUAUUUGGAAGUAGGGUUAUUGUAGAUAUACUUAGUUAUGACAUCAUACUAUAUCAUAUUAAAUCCAAUGAUUUAGUGUCCUUAUAAGAAGACCAUAAAGAGACACAGAAACAGAAGGCCAAGUGAAGAUAAGGCAGGGAUUGGACUAAUGCAUCCUCAAGCCAAAGAUUGCUAGCCACCAGAAACUAGUAAGAGGUGAGGAGCAAUCCUCUCCUACAGCCUUUAAAAGGCUCCUUGAUUUUUAAAGGAAAAUGUGACAGAGUACAUUUCUAUUAUUUUCAAGCCACUCAGUUUAUGGUUAUUUGUUAUAAUAGCUUAGGAAACAAAAAAAACCUGAUCAAGUAAAAGAGAAAACAGGUUAGUAAUAUCAAGAAUGAAAAGUGAGACCAAUACAGAACAUGUUGACAUUAAAGAUAAUAAGAGCAUGUAAUGGACAACUUUAUACCAAUAAAUUCAACAACUAAGAUGAAAUGGA
Molecule: RNA transcript, 3923 nt
Organism: Herpailurus yagouaroundi (jaguarundi)
Lineage: Eukaryota; Metazoa; Chordata; Mammalia; Carnivora; Felidae
Gene: DRAM2
Gene name: DNA damage regulated autophagy modulator 2
Exons: 12
Source: RefSeq, a predicted model, not a curated record